GAUGAACGCUAGCUCCAGGCUUAACACAUGCAAGUCGAGGGGAAACGGCAUUAAGUGCUUGCACUUUUUGGACGUCGACCGGCGCACGGGUGAGUAACGCGUAUCCAACCUUCCCAUGACUAAGGGAUAACCUGCCGAAAGGCAGACUAAUACCUUAUGGUCUUCACUGACGGCAUCAGAUGUGAAGUCAAGAUUUAUCGGUUAUGGAUGGGGAUGCGUCUGAUUAGCUUGUUGGCGGGGUAACGGCCCACCAAGGCAACGAUCAGUAGGGGUUCUGAGAGGAAGGUCCCCCACAUUGGAACUGAGACACGGUCCAAACUCCUACGGGAGGCAGCAGUGAGGAAUAUUGGUCAAUGGGCGAGAGCCUGAACCAGCCAAGUAGCGUGCAGGAUGACGGCCCUAUGGGUUGUAAACUGCUUUUGUAUGGGGAUAAAGUCAAUCACGUGUGAUUGUUUGCAGGUACCAGACGAAUAAGGACCGGCUAAUUCCGUG
Molecule: ribosomal RNA, 492 nt
Filed under: uncultured bacterium
Lineage: Bacteria
Description: partial 16S ribosomal RNA
Rfam family: Bacterial small subunit ribosomal RNA
Source: RNAcentral